Non-coding RNA from Paramuricea clavata, 96 nucleotides. The record is from the annotation of a GenBank genome assembly. NCBI's taxonomy places the organism in Eukaryota, Metazoa, Cnidaria, Anthozoa, Malacalcyonacea, Plexauridae.
CCACAAUGCUGACACUAGUAAUUACAUAAAUUUACAUUAUGUUAACACAUCAUGUAAAUUUAUGUAAUUACUAGUGUCAGCAUUGUGGAUAGGGUU